RNAcentral lists this ribosomal RNA (1233 nucleotides) under Arthrobacter sp. RNAcentral's name for it is "bacterial SSU rRNA". It matches the Rfam family "Bacterial small subunit ribosomal RNA", at positions 95 to 1338 of the family's 1533-position model. Lineage: Bacteria; Bacillati; Actinomycetota; Actinomycetes; Micrococcales; Micrococcaceae. The record is from RNAcentral.
GUGGCGAACGGGUGAGUAACACGUGAGUAACCUGCCCUUAACUCUGGGAUAAGCCUGGGAAACUGGGUCUAAUACCGGAUAUGACUCCUCAUCGCAUGGUGGGGGGUGGAAAGCUUUAUUGUGGUUUUGGAUGGACUCGCGGCCUAUCAGCUUGUUGGUGAGGUAAUGGCUCACCAAGGCGACGACGGGUAGCCGGCCUGAGAGGGUGACCGGCCACACUGGGACUGAGACACGGCCCAGACUCCUACGGGAGGCAGCAGUGGGGAAUAUUGCACAAUGGGCGAAAGCCUGAUGCAGCGACGCCGCGUGAGGGAUGACGGCCUUCGGGUUGUAAACCUCUUUCAGUAGGGAAGAAGCGAAAGUGACGGUACCUGCAGAAGAAGCGCCGGCUAACUACGUGCCAGCAGCCGCGGUAAUACGUAGGGCGCAAGCGUUAUCCGGAAUUAUUGGGCGUAAAGAGCUCGUAGGCGGUUUGUCGCGUCUGCCGUGAAAGUCCGGGGCUCAACUCCGGAUCUGCGGUGGGUACGGGCAGACUAGAGUGAUGUAGGGGAGACUGGAAUUCCUGGUGUAGCGGUGAAAUGCGCAGAUAUCAGGAGGAACACCGAUGGCGAAGGCAGGUCUCUGGGCAUUAACUGACGCUGAGGAGCGAAAGCAUGGGGAGCGAACAGGAUUAGAUACCCUGGUAGUCCAUGCCGUAAACGUUGGGCACUAGGUGUGGGGGACAUUCCACGUUUUCCGCGCCGUAGCUAACGCAUUAAGUGCCCCGCCUGGGGAGUACGGCCGCAAGGCUAAAACUCAAAGGAAUUGACGGGGGCCCGCACAAGCGGCGGAGCAUGCGGAUUAAUUCGAUGCAACGCGAAGAACCUUACCAAGGCUUGACAUGGGCCGGACCGGGCUGGAAACAGUCCUUCCCCUUUGGGGCCGGUUCACAGGUGGUGCAUGGUUGUCGUCAGCUCGUGUCGUGAGAUGUUGGGUUAAGUCCCGCAACGAGCGCAACCCUCGUUCCAUGUUGCCAGCGCGUAAUGGCGGGGACUCAUGGGAGACUGCCGGGGUCAACUCGGAGGAAGGUGGGGACGACGUCAAAUCAUCAUGCCCCUUAUGUCUUGGGCUUCACGCAUGCUACAAUGGCCGGUACAAAGGGUUGCGAUACUGUGAGGUGGAGCUAAUCCCAAAAAGCCGGUCUCAGUUCGGAUUGGGGUCUGCAACUCGACCCCAUGAAGUCGGAGUCGCUAG